This 1070-nucleotide ribosomal RNA is filed under the name uncultured Actinomycetales bacterium. RNAcentral describes it as "bacterial SSU rRNA". It matches the Rfam family "Bacterial small subunit ribosomal RNA", at positions 337 to 1396 of the family's 1533-position model. The record is from RNAcentral. Lineage: Bacteria; Bacillati; Actinomycetota; Actinomycetes; Actinomycetales.
UCCUACGGGAGGCAGCAGUGGGGAAUCUUGCGCAAUGGGCGAAAGCCUGACGCAGCGACGCCGCGUGGGGGAAGAAGGCCUUCGGGUUGUAAACCUCUUUCAGCAGGGACGAAGCCACUCGGGUUAAUAGCCCAGAGGGUGACGGUACCUGCAGAAGAAGCCCCGGCUAACUACGUGCCAGCAGCCGCGGUAAUACGUAGGGGGCAAGCGUUGUCCGGAUUUAUUGGGCGUAAAGAGCGUGUAGGCGGCCGCACAGGUCCGUUGUGAAAACUGGAGGCUUAACCUUCAGACGUCGAUGGAAACCGUGCGGCUAGAGUCCGGAAGAGGAGAAUGGAAUUCCUGGUGUAGCGGUGAAAUGCGCAGAUAUCAGGAAGAACACCCGUGGCUAAGGCGGUUCUCUAGUACGGUACUGACGCUGAGACGCGAAAGCGUGGGGAGCGAACAGGAUUAGAUACCCUGGUAGUCCACGCCGUAAACGAUGGGUGCUAGGUGUGGGGGGUGUCGACUCCCUCCGUGCCGAAGCUAACGCAUUAAGCACCCCGCCCUGGGGAGUACGGCCGCAAGGCUAAAACUCAAAGGAAUUGACGGGGGCCCCGCACAAGCAGCGGAGCAUGUGGUUUAAUUCGACGCAACGCGAAGAACCUUACCCAAGGCUUGACAUGGUCGGGAAAGCCGUAGAAAUACGGCCCUCCUUCGGGACUCGAUCACAGGUGGUGCAUGGCUGUCGUCAGCUCGUGUCGUGAGAUGUUGGGUUAAGUCCCGCAACGAGCGCAACCCUCGUUCUAUGUUGCCAGCACGUGAUGGUGGGGACUCAUAGGAGACUGCCGGGGUCAACUCGGAGGAAGGUGGGGAUGACGUCAAAUCAUCAUGCCCCUUAUGUCUUGGGCUUCACGCAUGCUACAAUGGCCAGUACAAAGGGCUGCGAUACCGUAAGGUGGAGCGAAUCCCAAAAAACUGGUCUCAGUUCGGAUUGGGGUCUGCAACUCGACCCCAUGAAGUCGGAGUCGCUAGUAAUCGCAGAUCAGCAACGCUGCGGUGAAUACGUUCCCGGGCCUUGUACACACCGCCAU